RNAcentral lists this ribosomal RNA (404 nucleotides) under uncultured bacterium. RNAcentral's name for it is "bacterial SSU rRNA". It matches the Rfam family "Bacterial small subunit ribosomal RNA", at positions 29 to 432 of the family's 1533-position model. The record is from RNAcentral.
ACGAACGUUGGCGGCGUGCCUAAUACAUGCAAGUCAACUGAAAUACCGGUAGCAAUACUGGUAUGGAGGUGGCGCACGGGUGAGUAACACGUAGGUAAUCUGCCUUCAGGUCUGACAUAACCCAUCGAAAGGUGAGCUAAUAUCAGAUGAUGCAGCGGCUUGACAUCAAGACAGUUGUUAAAGCUUCGGCGCCUGAAGAUGAGCCUGCGUCUGAUUAGCUAGUUGGCGGGGUAACGGCCACCAAGGCUGCGAUCAGUAGCUGGUCUGAGAGGAUGAUCAGUCACACUGGAACUGAGACACGGUCCAGACUCCUACGGGAGCAGCAGUAAGGAAUAUUGCUCAAUGGCCGAAAGGCUGAAGCAGCAACGCCGCGUGAGGGAUGAAGGGCUUUUGCUUGUAAACCU